RNAcentral lists this long non-coding RNA (283 nucleotides) under Ornithorhynchus anatinus (platypus). Its description in RNAcentral is "lncRNA (ENSOANG00000042873.1)". The record is from RNAcentral. Lineage: Eukaryota; Metazoa; Chordata; Mammalia; Monotremata; Ornithorhynchidae.
ACCUUAUUGGGAUGCAUUUGUUGUUUCCCUCCAGCUUGUGGCUAGUCCGAGUUCUCCAGCUAGGCUUCUUCUCUUGCCUCAGACCCCCGUAGAUGUUGUAGACUGAGGAGAAUGUCUGGUGGGCGGUGAACUCGUCUUUUCUCCUUUGUCCUCUGAAGCAAAUACCUGCUUUUCAGCAACACUGCCUAGUGGACCCUGCCGUGUCCCGCCAUGUGCCCGAGACCGGGUGCCGCCCGCCCACCUCCACUGCCCAGGCCCGGGCCCCUGCCCCCGUCCACGCACU